CCAAUAAAAAGGGUUGAUCGAAUCCAGACUUAUCCCUACAUUAGGAUCAUGUGCUAGCAGCUAAAUGGAAUGCAUC
This 76-nucleotide transfer RNA is filed under the name Shewanella putrefaciens. RNAcentral describes it as "tRNA-Glu". The record is from RNAcentral. Lineage: Bacteria; Pseudomonadati; Pseudomonadota; Gammaproteobacteria; Alteromonadales; Shewanellaceae.